UACGGGGGGGCGAGCGUUGUUCGGAAUUAUUGGGCGUAAAGGGCGCGUAGGCGGUCGGAUAAGUCUUGUGUGAAAUCUUCGGGCUCAACUCGAAGUCUGCACAGGAAACUAUCUGGCUUGAGUGUGGGAGAGGUGAGUGGAAUUCCUGGUGUAGCGGUGAAAUGCGUAGAUAUUACUUAGAACACCAAUUGCGAAGGCAGGUUACUAAGCAACAACUGACGCUGAUGGACGAAAGCGUGGGGAGCGAACAGG
RNAcentral lists this ribosomal RNA (252 nucleotides) under uncultured bacterium. RNAcentral describes it as "partial 16S ribosomal RNA". It matches the Rfam family "Bacterial small subunit ribosomal RNA", at positions 524 to 776 of the family's 1533-position model. The record is from RNAcentral.